UGUCAGUCUGGUAAGCUGACUCCCCAUCUUGUUCUGGACCAGCUGAGGUGUAAUGGAGUCUUAGAGGGGAUCCGUAUCUGCAGACAGGGCUUCCCCAACCGCAUCCCUUCCAGGAGUUCAGACAGAGGUAUGAGAUCUGACUCCUAAUGCUAUCCCUCGUACCUUCAUGGACGGGAAGCAGGCCUGGGAACUCAUGAUCAGUGCGUUGGAGCUGGACCGUAACCUGUUCAGAGUUGGGCAGAGCAAAGUGUUCUUCAGGGCUGGAGUCUUAGGUCACCUGGAGGAGGAGAGAGACCUGAAGGUCACUGACACCAUCAUACGCUUCCAGAGCGCUGCCCGAGGAUUCCUCGCA
This is a non-coding RNA of Salvelinus sp. IW2-2015, 352 nucleotides long. The record is from RefSeq and is a predicted model, not a curated record. NCBI's taxonomy places the organism in Eukaryota, Metazoa, Chordata, Actinopteri, Salmoniformes, Salmonidae.